RNAcentral lists this long non-coding RNA (1122 nucleotides) under Pan troglodytes (chimpanzee). Its description in RNAcentral is "long non-coding RNA NONPTRT011241". The record is from RNAcentral. Lineage: Eukaryota; Metazoa; Chordata; Mammalia; Primates; Hominidae.
UGCAUUUACAGGGCACGUCCAUUCCUAAUCAUUGUGCUCUGUGUCUCCUUAGGGAGAAAUAAAGGCAGCGCUGCCCUCGGGGGAGCAUUGGCCCUGGCGGAACGCAGCAGCCGCGAGGGAUCCAGCCAGAGGAUGCCACGGCAGCCCAGCGCUACCAGGCUGCCCAAGGGGGGCGGGCCUGGGAAGAGCCCUAUGCAGGGCAGCACCUAGGAUGGCGCAGAGACUUGUCACAUCUUUGUCCCCAGCAAAGGCUACGUGUUACCUCCUUCAGUUGAUAAUAAACCUUUCUGAGAUGCAGAGGGUCCAGGCUUGAGUGACAACUUGAGGACAAGGCGGUGCCUCGACAAGAUUUCACACAGCAGCUACGCGGGCCAGAGAAGCAGCACCACAUGGUGUGGCAGGAGAAGGAGGACAUGCACAAGCAAUUGGUUGAAGCUUCAGAGACAUUGAAAUCCCAAGCCAAAGAACUGAAAGAUGCCCAUCAGCAGCAAAAGCUGGCCCUGCAGGAGUUCUUGGAGCUCAAUGAGCUCAUGGCAGAGCUCUACUCCCAGAAGCAGAAGGUGUGGGACAAGGAGGAGGAGAUGGAAGUAGCCAUGCAGAAAGCUGACAUGAUGUGGCAGGAGAUCUGAAGAUCCAAGAAGCUCAGAAAGAGGAUGCUGUUUAGCCAGAUGCGGUGGCUCACGCCUGUAAUCCCAGCACUUUGGGAGGUCGAGGCGGGCGGAUGGCCUGAGGUCAAGAGUUUGAGACCAGCCUGGCCAACAUGGUGAAACCCCGUCUCUAUUAAAAAUGCAAAAAUUAACCAGGCAUGGUAUUGGGUGCCUGUAAUCCUAGCUACUUGGGAGGCUGAAGCAGGAGAAUUGCUUGAACCUGGGAGGCGGAGGUUGCAGUGAGCCAAGAUCAUGCCACUGCACUCCAGCCUGGGCAACAAGAGCAAAACUCUGUCUCAAAAAAAAAAGGUGGGGGGGGGAGGAAGCUAUUUAGAUAUUUCAGUGAUGGUAUUGACUGGACUUUUGUAUGACCUUAAUAAAACAUCUUUGAAAACUUGGGCUGUGUUAUGUAAAUUACUUUAAAAUCAUCUUAAGUUUUAUGUGAACCCAAGUAAGUUGAUCUGCCAAGCAUUUA